This 1657-nucleotide long non-coding RNA is filed under the name Oryctolagus cuniculus (rabbit). RNAcentral describes it as "lncRNA (ENSOCUG00000030901.1)". Lineage: Eukaryota; Metazoa; Chordata; Mammalia; Lagomorpha; Leporidae. The record is from RNAcentral.
AGGGGGACGUCAAUCCGACGCGCUAGGGUUUUUGUUCGCCUAGGGGACCUCGCCUUCCUACCACACCUUUUGUUCGGGACUCCAAUAAAAAGCCAUUCUUCCCGCACCUUCCCGGCCCCGAGCCGCCUUUCAGCGAGGCCCGGCCCCACAAUGGCGCGGCGCUCUGAGGCCUCCCCAUUCACCCGCCUUGGCACGCUCACAAUCGGCCGUGUGGCAGCACAGGCCUCGCACAGGCAUUCUCGCCGAGUGACAAGGAGCCGCAUAAAGCCGCGGCCGCCGGGGGAGCAGGGAGGGCGGCCGCGGGGGAGAGCUCGGCCGCGGCGGGGCGCAGCGCCCCCGGGCGCGCUGGAAGCCUCGGCGGCGGCGGCCAAGCCAGGAGCCGCCUUCGCGCCGCCCCGCGGCUGGGCCCCAGGGUCAGGUCUCCCCUCUUUCCCGGAGACCCUCGAGUUGGGGCAGAGUCUGUGCCUCGACCGAACGCAGGUCCAGACAGCCCGUCGUCUUGCCAGACAGCAUCGGGGAAAGCUGGGGGGGGGGGGGAGAUUAAAACACCCGGGACCUCACCAGGGCCUCCCCACAAAAGGGACAUUAACAAAACCACGGAGAGAUUGGACCCGCAGCCCGGACCGGGCUCGGGGGCGGCCAGGCCGGGGACCGCACCUUUCCCGUCCCUUCCCGCCGCUCAAAAGCUCCCUCCCCAGAACAAAGCCCAGAGCCGGCCAGCGGGUUGGACAUAUUGCACCUUGUUUAUUGAUUCCUGUAGUGUAUGGCAGCGGUGUGUACACGGCGUGUGGAUACAGUUACAUAGAGAUAAUACGUGCUGGGUACAGGAUACGAAACAGAAAGGAACCGGGUCGCCCCCGUGGGCGCCGGCCCCGGAGCUGUUCAGCGCCCCCCGCCCGACUUCCGAGCGCACUCGGCUGGUCUUCCGCGAAGGGUCCUGCGCCCGCGACCGUCCGGAAUCUGAUCGGGACGUGCCCGCUGCGGAGGGAGGCGGACGCAGAACGAAAACCGACUGUGGCUGGCGCUGCGGGCCGCAACGGCUGCAGAGGACGGGUAGGGCCAGGGCUUUCUCCAGCCACGACCUCCCCUUCUCUCUCCUUCAUGCUCCGCUCUCCCUUGGGCUCCCUGCCGACGCUUCGCAGGGCCGCGGCGGGGCAGAGCGAGAGAAGCCGCCCUCGCUGCGGGAGCACCCCGCAUAGCCAGUCUUGGCCUCCCGCACUCCCCUGGCCGCCGCCCUCGGGGCUCCCAGUCCGCUUGUCCGCCUCAGAGACAGUCCUGCAACCGGACCCAGGCAUCCUCCUCGCCCCUGACCGCUGCGCAGGCCUCGAGUGGGCUGCCAACCCGAGCCCAGGGGCGCAAGACGGGUAAAUUAUUAUUUAUUUUUUUUUAACGAGGGGACCUGGCCCUUGGGUCCAGCCUUUCUCGCUCUUGAGUCCCCGCGGUGCCGAGCUGCGGAAGGGCGCCCGCCGCGUGCCUCACCCCGUCCCUACCAGGCCCGUAUGCCCUGUAAAGCGCCCUGCGCGCACGCGGCCCCGGCGGCCGCACCCUGGUGCAAGGGCUGUGCGCCGCCGCCGCCGAAGCCUCCCAGGCCGCUCACNNNNNNNNNNNNNNNNNNNNNNNNNNNNNNNNNNNNNNNNNNNNNNNNNNNNNNNNNNNN